GACGAACGCUGGCGGCGUGCUUAACACAUGCAAGUCGAGCGGAAAGGCCCUUCGGGGUCCUCGAGCGGCGAACGGGUGAGUAACACGUGAGUAACCUGCCCCAGACUUUGGGAUAACCCUCGGAAACGGGGGCUAAUACCGGAUACGACACAGCUUCGCAUGGGGUCUGUGUGGAAAGUUUUUCGGUUUGGGAUGGGCUCGCGGCCUAUCAGCUUGUUGGUGGGGUGAUGGCCUACCAAGGCGACGACGGGUAGCCGGCCUGAGAGGGCGACCGGCCACACUGGGACUGAGACACGGCCCAGACUCCUACGGGAGGCAGCAGUGGGGAAUAUUGCACAAUGGGCGGAAGCCUGAUGCAGCGACGCCGGGUGAGGGAUGACGGCCUUCGGGUUGUAAACCUCUUUCAGCAGGGACGAAGCGUAAGUGACGGUACCUGCAGAAGAAGCGCCGGCCAACUACGUG
RNAcentral lists this ribosomal RNA (462 nucleotides) under uncultured bacterium. Its description in RNAcentral is "partial 16S ribosomal RNA". It matches the Rfam family "Bacterial small subunit ribosomal RNA", at positions 28 to 507 of the family's 1533-position model. The record is from RNAcentral.